RNAcentral lists this long non-coding RNA (724 nucleotides) under Olea europaea (common olive). RNAcentral's name for it is "long non-coding RNA (OEUR_LNC012914)". Lineage: Eukaryota; Viridiplantae; Streptophyta; Magnoliopsida; Lamiales; Oleaceae. The record is from RNAcentral.
GAUUUGUAUCCUAUUGACACGAAUCUCACGUUUGAUCCACAAAUUGUGGAGUUAAUUGUUCCAAUGGUCACUGAAUUUAUGUCCAUUUAUUUGAUUGGUCACUGAACUUUGAUAAAUAUCGAGUUUAGGUCAUUGAACUUUGAUAAAUAUCGAGUUUUGAUCACUGAACUUAGGUCUAUGUCUUCGAUUUCUCAUUGAAGUUUAAAAUGUUGAGUUUGGUCAUAGAACUUUGAAAAAUUUUAUACAUUACUCACUGAAUUUUAAAAAAUAUUGUACAUUACUCAUCAUACUUUAAAAAAUGUUUUGCAUUAUUCACUGUAAAUUCGAUAUUUUUUUAAUAUUCAAUGGUUUGCUAAUGAGUAACGUAUGGUACAUUCCAAAAUUCAGUGGUCAAAACUCGACAUUUUAAAUUUCAGUGAGCAAUUUAAGACAUGAACAUAAGUUCAGUGAGCAAUUGAAGACAUUGACCUAAGUUCAGUGACCAAAACUCAAUAUUUUAAAUUUCAUUGUCCAAUCAAAGACAUGGACUUGAGUUCAAUGAUCAAAAUUCGACAUUUUUCAAAGUUCAGUGGUCAAUCAAAGACAUGGACCUAAGUUCGAUGAUUACUGGAACAAUUAACUCCAAACUGUGACAAGGCCAAGCACCAAUAAAAGGAUUUUAAAUCUAGCACUUGUCUGUUUCUGAUUUUUCACCUGAUUUUAACUAUUUUUCUUACCGUUGCCC